Molecule: transfer-messenger RNA, 357 nt
Filed under: Candidatus Latescibacter sp.
Lineage: Bacteria; Pseudomonadati; Candidatus Latescibacterota; Candidatus Latescibacteria (ex Chuvochina et al. 2023); Candidatus Latescibacterales; Candidatus Latescibacteraceae
Rfam family: transfer-messenger RNA
About the family: Bacterial tmRNA, also known as 10Sa RNA or SsrA, is named for its dual tRNA and mRNA-like properties. Its role is to liberate the mRNA from a stalled ribosome. To accomplish this part of the tmRNA is used as a reading frame that ends in a translation stop signal.
Source: RNAcentral
GGGGGCGACCUGGUUUCGACGGGAACAGGUGAGGCUCUGAUUGCAUGUCGAGGAACCGAUCAUCCUCGUUAAACGGUCGGAAAAAAAUCUAACUGCAGACGAUUAUUCGUACGCAUUAGCCGCCUAAGAGCGGCUACGUUUCUCCCGGUUGCGCCUGCCCGGCAGGGAAGAAACGUCGAUCAGGCAGGAUAGCGGCGCGGGGGGUCUCCUCCCGCUACGUGAACCUUUAGGAGACUGGCGUUCGUAUGGGCGUGCCGGCGGGCAUGUGCGGACGCGAGAACCGAGCGCCGGCUAAACAUGUAGAUAUCGGAGUAGCACGGUUUUCGGACGCGGGUUCGAUUCCCGCCGCCUCCACCA